This is a long non-coding RNA of Nematostella vectensis (starlet sea anemone), 2054 nucleotides long. RefSeq lists it as uncharacterized. Lineage: Eukaryota; Metazoa; Cnidaria; Anthozoa; Actiniaria; Edwardsiidae. The record is from RefSeq and is a predicted model, not a curated record. The transcript has 2 exons.
GAGCAGGCUGAAAGAAAUAAAUGACGUCUUGAUAUACCUGACAAGGGCGUGGCCAGGGGAAGGGGCAGGCCCCGCCCUCCCUUCGAGCAGCAAAAAAUACAGUAAACGUAUGAGACAUUAUUUAAGAUACAGGAGGAAAUGAAAAAAACCGCGUUUUGGGCCCCCUCCUUUUAAAAAUCGUGGCUACGCUUCUUCCUGACCAGCUUGACAAGUGGCAAAUGUAAAUAAUUACAGGGGGAUAUGGCGGGAAAAUGUUUAAUAAUAUUAAGGCCCAUUGCAGUAUACACUGAAUUACGGGUCUGUCAGCAACAAUUAAACAGCCAGCGAUAAAUAAUGGGAAAAUACGGAUGUGUCAUUGUUCUAACUGGCAUUUCACAGUGACGAAGUGGUUGAAUCUGCGGGUGGAGCCAACCGACGGGUAGCAAGUCUGGUGGCCAGAUCUUAGAUUCAAAUUCGCUGACAUGAAAAUGUGUUUUGCAAAUGGCAUUUUAUUUCACAUUCUUUGACAUUCCUGAGCUCUAGCAAAUGGGCAAUUAGUUGCAACUUGUUCUACGUUUUCACCAACAGACCAAGAUAAACAAAGAAAGUCCCCCUUGGACCCCAGUUUGACACCCGACUGGAGAAAUCUAAAUUUGUAUAAAGAAACAUUUGAAGAAAAGCAGAAUUAACUUCGUGCUAGAGAAAUGCUCGCGGGUUAAAUGCGAAGUGUACUCAAAGCGAUUUGAGAUGUCCUACGUGCAUUUACACGGAAAACCCAAGUGACUGUUCUCCCAUGGACGGUCAGAUAUAUUAUACAUUUCUGGCAGGCCUUGCCGGCGUAUAGCGGAGGGCAAGCGCAUCUGAAGUCUCCGUCUCGGUAUGAUGGGUAACACCUCCCUCCAUGGAGACACGCCCCUCCAGCACACGGGCUCUAGGAUAAAACAAGAUGGCACCACAUUGAUACAUAAGCGCUCGGGCACUAGAACGACAAAGCUUUUAUAAACGCAAAAACAUAAACACGGUCAUUUGCCAUGUAAACAUAUCACGGGCUCUAUAAGAUAAAGACAACCACAAGAUACAGGUACACGGCCGGGAUCAAUAAAAAACAUUUCUCGUUAACCACAAAAACUAUAAGACAUCAGUACGAUUGAAUUUUGAGACAGAAUACAUCAAUAUCGUUGAAUCAGAAGCACUAAACUAGAUAGAGACCGUGACAGUUGAAAAUCCAAGAUAAAGAAUGUUUACCUGUAUGCUGUAGUGGAUCGAGGUCUCGUUGCCGCUGAUGAACUUCAUCGACUCGUUGUAUUUAUCGGUGGAAAGAAGACCACACCAGUGCAAAGCAUUAGAGUUCGGCUGAGCCGCCAUGUUGAUGGAUAAACACGCAUUGUUGUCUUUGCAUUUUUUCGCACAAUGUUCUUCUCCUUCCACGAAGUGACUGACUAGGGUUGUUACAUUGAGGUACGAACUCUCGUGCUUGAUAAAGUUCGCAAAGUUGAACUCAAAAUCAUCCCUUGUUAUACCAGCUAGUGUGUCAUGGCUUCGUGCAAAAGGAAGCACAGAUACCAAAAUAUAGAAAAGCAUUGUGUGAUUUUUGAACUUGGUAAUUAUUACCAGUUAAGUUUGUAAGAAUUCUUGAAUUUUGGUUUUUCUUUUCAGAUGAAAGUUUGGCGAAUGAGAGAGGCUGCAAUUGAUGAGUUGACACUAGUCAUUAUUAAUUCAUUGCAAAACUUUAAGAACGAACUAUUUACCCAGUUACUGGAAUCAUAAAUUAUUGAAAGACAAUAUAUAUAUAUAUAUAUAUAUUCCUGCAAUUAUUUUUCUCUUUUAAAGUCCUUUAAAAGUUUCUGCAUAGUUUAAUCAAGUGUAAACCAAGUGCCAUAUUUGUUUAAAACAUUCUUCAACCUAAUAUCAUAAAUGUACUUUAUUCAGAUUUUGUUUGCCAGUAGCCUAGAAACCCGAAUAGCGUAUGCAAACAAUCAGUAUGGUUCCUGUUAAAACACUGAAUCGGUUUCUAAAUUGUAAAUUUGACAGUUUAUUUUAUUUAAGAAAUACAAGAAAAGAAAAAAAAGUAAAAA